Paramuricea clavata is the source of this 73-nucleotide non-coding RNA. The record is from the annotation of a GenBank genome assembly. Lineage: Eukaryota; Metazoa; Cnidaria; Anthozoa; Malacalcyonacea; Plexauridae.
CCGAGCUGUAACUCAGUUGGUUAGAGCGCUGCACCGGAAUCGCAGGGCCGUAGGUUCAAUUCCUACCAGAGGA